RNAcentral lists this non-coding RNA (235 nucleotides) under Bacillota bacterium. RNAcentral describes it as "Firmicutes bacterium T-box sequence". It matches the Rfam family "T-box leader". Rfam says of the family: Uncharged tRNA acts as the effector for transcription antitermination of genes in the T-box leader family. Lineage: Bacteria; Bacillati; Bacillota. The record is from RNAcentral.
CGAACAGCUAUGACGAAUAAUUGUUAAUAUAUUUGUUCCCAGAGAGUCGAUGGUUGGUGCAAAUCGAUACAAACUAUUAACGAAGCAAUUACGAGCUGUUUACCUGAAGAUAAUAUUAGGGUAACCCGGUGCAUUCCGUUAUAAUGCAAGGUUGUAAUAACCUACCAAGGUCUGAAACUGUGAAGUUUAGACGAACAAGGGUGGUACCACGGAGGCAAUGUCCUACGUCCCUUUA